Molecule: long non-coding RNA, 1393 nt
Organism: Hyla sarda
Lineage: Eukaryota; Metazoa; Chordata; Amphibia; Anura; Hylidae
Exons: 5
Source: RefSeq, a predicted model, not a curated record
AUAAAUCUCCCCCUAUAUAGUGACUGGCAGCUCCUCCUGAGGAUUGGCAUCAGCUGCUGCCCCCCCCCCCCUUGUCUAUAGGGGUCUCUUAAUUGGUGGACUAAAUCAUUGCAGGCAUGUGGCCUUCCCAUCCCCCCCCCUCGUCCGGGCCUGCAGGGGCCCCCUAGGAAUAUAUAUUGCACUUAUAAAACAAUACGGCUUUUGUGCGGUUGAUUAAACGUCCCGGCCGUACAAAAGCGAGGCCACGAGUUAUCGGGAGAAUAAUGCGCAUUGUGCGAUCAGAUGCAUUGAUGGACACCUCAGCCAUAUAAAAAAAAGUAUAUUUCUGGGCACAGGACGGAUGGCUUCGCUCCAAAUGUUUGACACAGAGAGUUUCUUGAAAUUCUGUCUACAUGCCCUCUGUGACCUGCCUGAUAACAAUACAUUGUGUGAGUAAUUCACCUCCACAGAGGAGGAGGAGGGGGGAUUCCAAAUUGCAGCUGAGCACCAGCGAGACCAUUCAACGUUUGGCCCCAGAAGGAGAUUUCAAGUAAAGCAUCUGCCAAUCAGGAUCCGGGCCCUGGAAAAAGCAGCAGCUGGAGAGGGAAGGUGCGAUCCGGCCCAGCACCACCACCACCACCACUAUCCAUCAAUACAAUCUCUGGCUAUUCAAGACCCCCGAGCUCCCCCCCUACUCAUCCCUGUGAAGAAGAAUAUAUUACCGCCCAUGCCUGUUCCUGCUAAUCUGCUGCUCUUUACUAUUUCAUGCAUAUAUUCCAGGCAGAAGGGUGAAUUUUCCUUAGUAAAAUGUGAUACUGUGAAGGAAGUUAAUCAGUGUCGUAUUACAAUAGAAUGUCCUGCUUGAAAAAGCUGCAUUUUAAGCGAUUCUCCACCGACUCAGCUUCAUGGAUAAAAAUACCGUAAGAACGGUCAGAAGACAUUUACUGCUGGAAGCUGUCACUUAGCCAAGAAUGUAGCCCAAAGAAGUCCAAAGGUUCCUCUGCCACAUAGGAAGAUAUCAGCAUUACAAUUGGCAUGCCAUAGAAGGAGUUCAAUGACACGGAGGAAAGACAAUUUGUUAAAUAUGUUCUCUGAAAGGAAAGCGGGGCAGAGGGAGAGAAAAAUCCUUUCUUCUUGCAGGACAAUCGCCUACAAAUGAAAGCAGCAGCGAACCUUCCAGGCCUGAAACCUCUUUAAUACCCAUUAUUGUGUUAGUGCGAAAGAUUCAUGGUUAUCUUUCAAAAUCACCAUCAAAAUUUACAAUCUGUUUUAUGGAGCAUAGUCCUUCAUAAAUCACAAGAAAGCAGGGCUGUUCUUACUAAUAUGUGUUAUUUUAGAUAAUAAAUGGUCUGAAUAUAAUAAGGAAGACAUGGGGUUUUGUUCCAGGUAAAAAGUAGAAUGAAUGAAUUUUAUA